GACGAACGCUGGCGGCGUGCUUAACACAUGCAAGUCGAACGGAAAGGCCCUGCUUUUGUGGGGUGCUCGAGUGGCGAACGGGUGAGUAACACGUGAGUAACCUGCCCUUGACUUUGGGAUAACUUCAGGAAACUGGGGCUAAUACCGGAUAGGAGCUCCUGCUGCAUGGUGGGGGUUGGAAAGUUUCGGCGGUUGGGGAUGGACUCGCGGCUUAUCAGCUUGUUGGUGGGGUAGUGGCUUACCAAGGCUUUGACGGGUAGCCGGCCUGAGAGGGUGACCGGCCACAUUGGGACUGAGAUACGGCCCAGACUCCUACGGGAGGCAGCAGUGGGGAAUAUUGCACAAUGGGCGGAAGCCUGAUGCAGCAACGCCGCGUGCGGGAUGACGGCCUUCGGGUUGUAAACCGCUUUCGCCUGUGACGAAGCGUGAGUGACGGUAAUGGGUAAAGAAGCACCGGCUAACUACGUGCCAGCAGCCGCGGUGAUACGUAGGGUGCGAGCGUUGUCCGGAUUUAUUGGGCGUAAAGGGCUCGUAGGUGGUUGAUCGCGUCGGAAGUGUAAUCUUGGGGCUUAACCCUGAGCGUGCUUUCGAUACGGGUUGACUUGAGGAAGGUAGGGGAGAAUGGAAUUCCUGGUGGAGCGGUGGAAUGCGCAGAUAUCAGGAGGAACACCAGUGGCGAAGGCGGUUCUCUGGGCCUUUCCUGACGCUGAGGAGCGAAAGCGUGGGGAGCGAACAGGCUUAGAUACCCUGGUAGUCCACGCUGUAAACGGUGGGUACUAGGUGUGGGGUCCAUUCCACGGGUUCCGUGCCGUAGCUAACGCUUUAAGUACCCCGCCUGGGGAGUACGGCCGCAAGGCUAAAACUCAAAGGAAUUGACGGGGCCCCGCACAAGCGGCGGAGCAUGCGGAUUAAUUCGAUGCAACGCGUAGAACCUUACCUGGGUUUGACAUGGAUCGGGAGUGCUCAGAGAUGGGUGUGCCUCUUUUGGGGUCGGUUCACAGGUGGUGCAUGGCUGUCGUCCGCUCGUGUCGUGAGAUGUUGGGUUAAGUCCCGCAACGAGCGCAACCCUUGUUCACUGUUGCCAGCACGUUAUGGUGGGGACUCAGUGGAGACCGCCGGGGUCAACUCGGAGGAAGGUGGGGAUGACGUCAAGUCAUCAUGCCCCUUAUGUCCAGGGCUUCACGCAUGCUACAAUGGCUGGUACAGAGAGUGGCGAGCCUGUGAGGGUGAGCGAAUCUCGGAAAGCCGGUCUCAGUUCGGAUUGGGGUCUGCAACUCGACCUCAUGAAGUCGGAGUCGCUAGUAAUCGCAGAUCAGCAACGCUGCGGUGAAUACGUUCCCGGG
Molecule: ribosomal RNA, 1343 nt
Filed under: uncultured bacterium
Lineage: Bacteria
Description: 16S ribosomal RNA
Rfam family: Bacterial small subunit ribosomal RNA
Source: RNAcentral